UACGAAGGGGGCUAGCGUUGCUCGGAAUCACUGGGCGUAAAGGGUGCGUAGGCGGGUCUUUAAGUCAGGGGUGAAAUCCUGGAGCUCAACUCCAGAACUGCCUUUGAUACUGAAGAUCUUGAGUUCGGGAGAGGUGAGUGGAACUGAGAGUGUAGAGGUGAAAUUCGUAGAUAUUCGCAAGAACACCAGUGGCGAAGGCGGCUCACUGGCCCGAUACUGACGCUGAUGCGCGAAAGCGUGGGGAGCAAACAGG
This 253-nucleotide ribosomal RNA is filed under the name uncultured bacterium. RNAcentral describes it as "partial 16S ribosomal RNA". It matches the Rfam family "Bacterial small subunit ribosomal RNA", at positions 524 to 776 of the family's 1533-position model. The record is from RNAcentral.